GCCGCAGUUGCCAAGUUGGUCAAGGCGGGCGCUUGAAGAGCGUCUUAUGCGAGUUCGAUUCUUGCCUGCGGCACAA
RNAcentral lists this transfer RNA (76 nucleotides) under Candidatus Daviesbacteria bacterium GWA1_38_6. RNAcentral's name for it is "tRNA-Phe". It matches the Rfam family "tRNA". Rfam says of the family: Transfer RNA (tRNA) molecules are approximately 80 nucleotides in length. Their secondary structure includes four short double-helical elements and three loops (D, anti-codon, and T loops). Further hydrogen bonds mediate the characteristic L-shaped molecular structure. tRNAs have two regions of fundamental functional importance: the anti-codon, which is responsible for specific mRNA codon recognition, and the 3' end, to which the tRNAs corresponding amino acid is attached (by aminoacyl-tRNA synthetases). tRNAs cope with the degeneracy of the genetic code in two manners: having more than one tRNA (with a specific anti-codon) for a particular amino acid; and 'wobble' base-pairing, i.e. permitting non-standard base-pairing at the 3rd anti-codon position. Lineage: Bacteria; Candidatus Daviesiibacteriota. RNAcentral also lists the same sequence under 3 other names. The record is from RNAcentral.